CACUGUUGAGUACAACCAUCAGUUGAGUAAAAGUACAGCAUAUAUGUAUAGAAUAUGACACUUGAUAGCAGUAAUACAUGGUUGUUAAUUGGUUUAUUUACUAACCAUACUUCAUCAUCACUUUAGCUUGUUCUCCUACUUAAAAAGAAAGAUAUAUAUUUUCUUAAACAACUGAUGCCAGAUCAAAUGAAUGGGAUCAAGGUGUGAGUAAAUGGACAAAGACAGUAGGAUUCAAUGAAGUGCUUAAAUGAGCAUGUGUAAGAAGCCUUGUGCAGCUGCUGUUGACUAACAGCUGAGCCAGAAAACUCACUACGCACUUGAAACCUCCGUGGAAUCAAAGAUCUCAGACACAGUGAAUUGUCCAUUUUGCCAAGAACUGAGAAAUAUGAUGAUUUGCUGUGACUGUCAUCAAAAUCUAACACAGUUUGGGCCCAGUGCGGUAGCUUAGCAAUUAAA
This is a long non-coding RNA of Ochotona princeps (American pika), 456 nucleotides long. RefSeq lists it as uncharacterized. The record is from RefSeq and is a predicted model, not a curated record. Lineage: Eukaryota; Metazoa; Chordata; Mammalia; Lagomorpha; Ochotonidae. The transcript is spliced from 3 exons.